This 340-nucleotide unclassified non-coding RNA is filed under the name soil metagenome. RNAcentral describes it as "partial contains 5.8S ribosomal RNA, internal transcribed spacer 2, and large subunit ribosomal RNA". The stretch from base 1 to 119 matches the Rfam family "5.8S ribosomal RNA", at positions 35 to 154 of the family's 154-position model. The record is from RNAcentral.
GAUGAAGAAGUAGCGAAAUGCGAUAAGUAGUGUGAAUUGCAGAAUUCAGUGAAUCAUCGAAUCUUUGAACGCACAUUGCGCCCUUUGGUAUUCCAAAGGGCAUGCCUGUUCGAGCGUCAUUUGUACCCUCAAGCUUUGCUUGGUGUUGGGCGUCUUGUCUCUAGCUUUGCUGGAGACUCGCCUUAAAGUAAUUGGCAGCCGGCCUACUGGUUUCGGAGCGCAGCACAAGUCGCACUCUCUAUCAGCAAAGGUCUAGCAUCCAUUAAGCCUUUUUUUCAACUUUUGACCUCGGAUCAGGUAGGGAUACCCGCUGAACUUAAGCAUAUCAAUAAGCGGAGGA